AAGUGAAGCUGAUAUGGUUGCAACAUCUAAUACCCCAUUGAUAUCUAGUGUUCAAUAAGAUGAUCUGGGUGGCUGGGCUGUUGUCCGUUUUCUCCCUGUCACCUUGUGGGCAUCAUUUCUGAAGUUGCCACUGGGGAGAAGAGCAUGACCUUCUGUAAAUAGAGGAGGCUUUGUCCUCAGUUAAGGUGAUAAGAUCAGUUGUGUUCCCCUGCUAGAACCUCCUAAUAAGCACACAAAAGAAUAUGAAAUAUGGCCAUUCACACACUAUUUUUGAUACAUAAUAAAAGGUACAUUUUUGGUGAUAAUAAUUAUAUAUAU
Molecule: small nuclear RNA, 318 nt
Filed under: Neotoma lepida (desert woodrat)
Lineage: Eukaryota; Metazoa; Chordata; Mammalia; Rodentia; Cricetidae
Description: 7SK RNA
Rfam family: 7SK RNA
About the family: 7SK was discovered as an abundant small nuclear RNA in the mid-70s but a possible function has only recently been suggested. Two independent studies have found that 7SK RNA binds the CDK9/cyclin T complex (known as elongation factor P-TEFb).
Source: Rfam by way of RNAcentral